This is a non-coding RNA of Mollisiaceae sp. DMI_Dod_QoI, 121 nucleotides long. The record is from the annotation of a GenBank genome assembly. Lineage: Eukaryota; Fungi; Ascomycota; Leotiomycetes; Helotiales; Mollisiaceae.
GCAGCUUGGCAUAGUGGUACUGCGUGUCACUCGUACACAACACUCACCUUCUGCAUAAGCGCUUCUGAGUGUUGUUAAUCGCGUAAUGACAAGAUCCACGGUUCGAUUCCGUGAGUGGGCA